This 99-nucleotide transfer-messenger RNA is filed under the name Acetobacter sp. Its description in RNAcentral is "partial transfer-messenger RNA". It matches the Rfam family "Alphaproteobacteria transfer-messenger RNA", at positions 219 to 355 of the family's 355-position model. Rfam says of the family: Bacterial tmRNA, also known as 10Sa RNA or SsrA, is named for its dual tRNA and mRNA-like properties. Its role is to liberate the mRNA from a stalled ribosome. Lineage: Bacteria; Pseudomonadati; Pseudomonadota; Alphaproteobacteria; Acetobacterales; Acetobacteraceae. The record is from RNAcentral.
UAAUUUUACAAGUGCCAACGAUGAUUCUGAGGUGCUCGCUGUCGCAGCAUAAGCGAUAAGCGCGGUUUGGAAAGCACCGGGCAACAGAAGCUUUCCACA